RNAcentral lists this long non-coding RNA (478 nucleotides) under Helianthus annuus (common sunflower). Lineage: Eukaryota; Viridiplantae; Streptophyta; Magnoliopsida; Asterales; Asteraceae. The record is from RNAcentral.
AUGAUCACGUGCCUUACACAUGAAGGCUUUUCUGUCUUUUUACAUUCCAAGGGCUAUUUUGUAAAUAAGUAUUCUUCAAGGAUUAAAUAUUUUUUGCAAAACAAAAAAUUAAAAAAGAAAUAUAAACAAACUCUCUUUCUCCCUUUCUAAUCUUUAUAAUCUGAACCUCACCUCUCCUCUCUUCUCUCUCUCUCUCUCUCUUUCCAGAAGACUAUCGAUCCUCACUCAAACAUAGUUCGCAUAGUUCUUGUUGAAAUUAAGUCUCGGUUACGGCGGCUGUAAUAUCGCCGGAAAGUCGUGUGGUGGCAACAUGUCUGAGGGUCGGAGAGGGGAAACAAGGUGAAGCUGCUUGUUCUGGGUCAGUCGGUUCCAUGGUUGUGCCUGAGUAAGAGCUUUAGCCACUGUGAUUUUUAGUAUAAAUCUAGUGGUGCCAAAAUGUGUGGCCAUGCUUUAUUGAGCAUUUGAGCCGUUGUGAUGG